This 106-nucleotide small RNA is filed under the name Epilithonimonas xixisoli. RNAcentral's name for it is "Chryseobacterium xixisoli Flavo-1 RNA". The record is from RNAcentral. Lineage: Bacteria; Pseudomonadati; Bacteroidota; Flavobacteriia; Flavobacteriales; Weeksellaceae.
UUUUCGCAGCCCGACUUGAACGGAGCUCUUUUUUUGAAAAAUAAGCUGGGGAUUUCGAGGGUUGGAAUUUUUCAAAAAAAAGCGGGAGUGGAAGGCGGAAAUAGCU